This is a small nucleolar RNA of Zingiber officinale, 107 nucleotides long. Lineage: Eukaryota; Viridiplantae; Streptophyta; Magnoliopsida; Zingiberales; Zingiberaceae. The record is from RefSeq and is a predicted model, not a curated record.
AAGCCCAUGAUGUGGGCAUUGCUUGAGCAUAUUUUUGAAUCUAUCCCAUGCUUUGAAUAAUGAUUCUGAAUCUAUUUGUCUGAAACUUGCUAUAAGAUUCCUCGUAU